Transfer RNA from Campylobacter fetus subsp. fetus, 73 nucleotides. It matches the Rfam family "tRNA". Rfam says of the family: Transfer RNA (tRNA) molecules are approximately 80 nucleotides in length. NCBI's taxonomy places the organism in Bacteria, Pseudomonadati, Campylobacterota, Epsilonproteobacteria, Campylobacterales, Campylobacteraceae. The record is from Rfam.
GCUGGUGUAGCUCAGUUGGUAGAGCUACUGCCUUGUAAGCAGUAGGUCGGCGGUUCAAGUCCGUUCACCAGCU